GUGCAGGUGGCUCAGUGGUAGAGCGCCUGCCUCACAUGUAUGAAGCCCUGGGUUCGAUUCCUCAGCACC
This 69-nucleotide transfer RNA is filed under the name Dipodomys ordii (Ord's kangaroo rat). It matches the Rfam family "tRNA". From Rfam's summary of the family: Transfer RNA (tRNA) molecules are approximately 80 nucleotides in length. Their secondary structure includes four short double-helical elements and three loops (D, anti-codon, and T loops). Lineage: Eukaryota; Metazoa; Chordata; Mammalia; Rodentia; Heteromyidae. The record is from Rfam by way of RNAcentral.